Molecule: long non-coding RNA, 615 nt
Organism: Monopterus albus (swamp eel)
Lineage: Eukaryota; Metazoa; Chordata; Actinopteri; Synbranchiformes; Synbranchidae
Exons: 4
Source: RefSeq, a predicted model, not a curated record
UCUAAAUGUGCCAUGCCAGCAUUCUUGUCAGGCCUGUUUCAUACAGUAUAAAGCAUGCAAUGGGUUACUGUCGAGUCAUGUCCCUGCAGCAUCAGUCUGUCAGCUUGUUGCCAGGACAAUGCCGAGGGGGCAGAGCCUGUGUGAAGGUCUGAGGAGAAAGAUGAUGACAACACACAAAGGAAGGCAGAUUACAUAAUAAUAAACAAAACAUGCCUUGCGGAUAAGCCAGUCAUCAGGAUGAUGUAUCCUAGCAACAGUGACAUCCCGCCCAUUUGGCAUUAGAAUGGCCCAAAUAACAUUUUUGGAUGAAGAUGGAGAGACUGAGACUGAAGGCAGAGGACAGGACGGAGGAGAUGGGAGGCCCUAAGACAGAUCAGAACGAUGUGACACAUUUUCUUGAGCUUCCAGUCCUAGUGGGAGUGCUGGUGUUAGGGCCCUUCAUGUACAGUACACCAGAGGCCCUCAACUCCAUCACUGGAUGGACAUGGUCAACACUCCACAGGAGGCUGUGAAGUUGUGGCACAGAUUGGGCAGAUACAUUUAAGAAACCAAACAUGAACAGAUCCACAAACACACAUGUGCAUGUACAUACACACAGAUUCAGAAAUAGAAUAA